Molecule: transfer RNA, 82 nt
Filed under: Rhipicephalus sanguineus (brown dog tick)
Lineage: Eukaryota; Metazoa; Arthropoda; Arachnida; Ixodida; Ixodidae
Description: transfer RNA serine (anticodon CGA)
Rfam family: tRNA
About the family: Transfer RNA (tRNA) molecules are approximately 80 nucleotides in length.
Source: Rfam by way of RNAcentral
GCAGCCGUGGCCGAGUGGUUAAGGCGAUGGUCUCGAAAACCAUUGGGGUUUGCCCGCACAGGUUCGAAUCUUGUCGGCUGCG